UACGUAGGGGGCAAGCGUUGUCCGGAAUCAUUGGGCGUAAAGAGCAUGUAGGUGGAUCAAUUAGUCUGCUGUGAAAGUCAAAGGCUCAACCUUUGAAAGCCGGUGGAUACUGUUGGUCUAGAGUAUGGAAGAGGCGAGUGGAAUUCCUGGUGUAGCGGUGGAAUGCGCAGAUAUCAGGAGGAACACCAAUAGCGAAGGCAGCUCGCUGGGACGUUACUGACACUGAGAUGCGAAAGCGUGGGGAGCAAACAGG
RNAcentral lists this ribosomal RNA (253 nucleotides) under uncultured bacterium. Its description in RNAcentral is "partial 16S ribosomal RNA". It matches the Rfam family "Bacterial small subunit ribosomal RNA", at positions 524 to 776 of the family's 1533-position model. The record is from RNAcentral.